CAAUAGCGUAUAUUAAAGUUGUUGCGGUUAAAAAGCUCGUAGUUGGAGUUCUGCCAGGUGCCGCCUGUCCGCCCCAGUGGUGAGUACGUGGCGCGCAUUUGGUCCUUUCAAGGGGAGCGUAUCUGCACUUUAUUGUGUGGUGCGGGAUCCUUGACUUUUACUUUGAGGAAAUAGGAGUGUUCCAAGCAGGCUCUCGUCGUGCACAGCUCAGCAUGGAAUAAUAGCAUUGGACCUCGAUUCUAAGCUGUUGGUUGCCAGAAGCGAGGUAAUGAUGAAGAGGGAUAGUUGGGGGCAUUCGUAUUUAACUGUCAGAGGCGAAAUUCUUGGAUUUGUUAAAGACGGACUACUGCGAAAGCAUCUGCCAUGGAUGUUUUCAUUGA
RNAcentral lists this ribosomal RNA (380 nucleotides) under uncultured eukaryote. RNAcentral describes it as "partial 18S ribosomal RNA". It matches the Rfam family "Eukaryotic small subunit ribosomal RNA", at positions 592 to 976 of the family's 1831-position model. The record is from RNAcentral.